UCUAGCACUGAAUCUUUUUUGCCUAUGACAAUGUUUACAAAAUGUCAAUGUAAAAAUAAUUUGAUGUCUGAAAAAAUUCAGUGUAAAAAAAUCUACAUCUCAAAAGAUUCACUGUAAAAAAAUUCAGUGUCUCAACAAAUUCGGAGUAAAAAAAUUCGACAUCUCAAAAGAUUCAGUGUAAAAAAAUUCAAUGUCUCAAAAAAUUCAGUGUAAAAAUAGUCACAGGCAACAUCCGGGUAACCAAGGAGAAUCAAUCGAUCCCUGUAUCAAAUCAUCCAACAUCUAGCCAAUCAAGUUUACGUUCCAUUGUUCAUGUGACGCCGAAACAGGAAGGCGGUGAAGUUCAGGUGAGCUCUGGUCAGAGCUCGGCAUGGCUCAGAACACACAUGAUGGUGCUUCGGAACUCCUGCUUAAUCAACUUUUAGAAAGACUUCGCUCGAUUGGAGCAUAUCCUGGGACGCAUGCCUCUGGAUCUGGACUUCUUAGAGUUCACUUGCACACAAGAACUUGUGUUUUUAAAUGCUGUAUCCAGUCAAGUUACUGUUUGUCCAGCUAUUUUAGAUUCACUGACACAGCUACACAGUCUUAUCAAUUUGGAAAAAGACAAAAGGGAGCAACACAUUGCAGUUGUGCAGUUUGAGCAAGGACCAGCUGGGCGACAAAGAAUGGUCAUAUCCCCAGAGUACCUUAACAAACUUCUGGAACUUAAUUUGUCUGUUCCAUGUAUAGCUAAACUUUUGGGGAUGUCCAGGCGCACAGUAUACCGACGCAUGGCUGAGUCUGAUCUCUCAGUUAAGGCAUUAUACAGCACUAUGACAGAUGAAGAGUUAGAUCAGUGUGUGAGAGAUAUUAAGUCGAGGCAGCCUCACUCUGGAUAUCGAAUGAUGAAGGCCCUUCUGCAAGCCAGAGGACUGAGGGUGCAGUAUAAUCGUGUCAGAGCCUCCAUGCACCGUGUUGACACCACUGGUGUCAUAAGUAGGAUGGUUCACGUAGGAUGUAUUGCUCGACGGACCUACUCGGUUCCAGGACCCCAGUCUUUGAUGCACAUAGAUACAAACCAUAAAUUGAUUCGCUACAACAUUGUUGUCUUUGGUGGUAUUGACGGUUUUUCCCGUAAGGUAAGCACAGUUGUUUGGACUAAGAGUACACAUUUGUGUAAUCAUAAAAUACUUGAGUGUCUCAUAGACGUGUAAUUGCAUUUGUGCUGCAGAUAAUGUAUC
Long non-coding RNA from Esox lucius (northern pike), 1220 nucleotides. RefSeq lists it as uncharacterized. The record is from RefSeq and is a predicted model, not a curated record. Lineage: Eukaryota; Metazoa; Chordata; Actinopteri; Esociformes; Esocidae. The transcript is spliced from 3 exons.